UUGGUCCCUUUCAACCAGCUA
Molecule: microRNA, 21 nt
Filed under: Danio rerio (zebrafish)
Lineage: Eukaryota; Metazoa; Chordata; Actinopteri; Cypriniformes; Danionidae
Also listed under: 1 other name
Description: Dre-Mir-133-P2b-v2_3p (mature (guide))
Source: RNAcentral